This 293-nucleotide ribosomal RNA is filed under the name uncultured bacterium. Its description in RNAcentral is "partial 16S ribosomal RNA". It matches the Rfam family "Bacterial small subunit ribosomal RNA", at positions 505 to 796 of the family's 1533-position model. The record is from RNAcentral.
GUGCCAGCAGCCGCGGUAAUACGUAGGGAGCAAGCGUUGUUCGGAUUUACUGGGCGUAAAGGGCGCGUAGGCGGCGUGUCAAGUCGAUUGUGAAAUCUCCGGGCUUAACUCGGAACGGCCAAUCGAUACUGACGUGCUAGAGUGCAGAAAGGGCAAUCGGAAUUCUUGGUGUAGCGGUGAAAUGCGUAGAUAUCAAGAGGAACACCUGAGGCGAAGGCGGGUUGCUAGGCUGACACUGACGCUGAGUGCGCGAAAGCCAGGGGAGCAAACGGGAUUAGAUACCCUGGUAGUCC